This 408-nucleotide ribosomal RNA is filed under the name uncultured bacterium. Its description in RNAcentral is "partial 16S ribosomal RNA". It matches the Rfam family "Bacterial small subunit ribosomal RNA", at positions 28 to 526 of the family's 1533-position model. The record is from RNAcentral.
GACGAACGCUGGCGGAGUGCUUAACACAUGCAAGUCGAACGAAGUGGCGAACGGGUGAGUAACGAGUAAUCAACCUGCCCUUCAGAGGGGGACAACAGAUGGAAAAGACUGCUAAUACCGCAUACUGAAGGAGGGGAUUGCGUCUGAUUAGCUCGUUGGAGGGGUAACGGCCCACCAAGGCGAUGAUCAGUAGCCGGUCUGAGAGGAUGAACGGCCACAUUGGGACUGAGACACGGCCCAGACUCCUACGGGAGGCAGCAGUGGGGAAUCUUCCGCAAUGGACGAAAGUCUGACGGAGCAACGCCGCGUGAGUGAUGACGGCCUUCGGGUUGUAAAGCUCUGUUAAUCGGGACGCGGUACCGGAAUAGAAAGCCACGGCUAACUACGUGCCAGCAGCCGCGGUAAUAC